GAAAAGCCUCUAAGCAUCAGGUAACAUCAAAUCGUACCCCAAACCGACACAGGUGGUCAGGUAGAGAAUACCAAGGCGCUUGAGAGAACUCGGGUGAAGGAACUAGGCAAAAUGGUGCCGUAACUUCGGGAGAAGGCACGCUGGUGUGUAGGUGAAGUCCCUGCGGAUGGAGCUGAGACCAGUCGAAGAUACCAGCUGGCUGCAACUGUUUAUUAAAAACACAGCACUGUGCAAACACGAAAGUGGACGUAUACGGUGUGACGCCUGCCCGGUGCCGGAAGGUUAAUUGAUGGGGUUAUCCGUAAGGAGAAGCUCUUGAUCGAAGCCCCGGUAAACGGCGGCCGUAACUAUAACGGUCCUAAGGUAGCGAAAUUCCUUGUCGGGUAAGUUCCGACCUGCACGAAUGGCGUAAUGAUGGCCAGGCUGUCUCCACCCGAGACUCAGUGAAAUUGAACUCGCUGUGAAGAUGCAGUGUACCCGCGGCAAGACGGAAAGACCCCGUGAACCUUUACUAUAGCUUGACACUGAACAUUGAGCCUUGAUGUGUAGGAUAGGUGGGAGGCUUUGAAGCGUGGACGCCAGUCUGCGUGGAGCCAACCUUGAAAUACCACCCUUUAAUGUUUGAUGUUCUAACGUUGGCCCCUGACCGGGGUUGCGGACAGUGUCUGGUGGGUAGUUUGACUGGGGCGGUCUCCUCCCAAAGCGUAACGGAGGAGCACGAAGGUUAGCUAAUCCUGGUCGGACAUCAGGAGGUUAGUGCAAUGGCAUAAGCUAGCUUGACUGCGAGCGUGACGGCGCGAGCAGGUGCGAAAGCAGGUCAUAGUGAUCCGGUGGUUCUGAAUGGAAGGGCCAUCGCUCAACGGAUAAAAGGUACUCCGGGGAUAACAGGCUGAUACCGCCCAAGAGUUCAUAUCGACGGCGGUGUUUGGCACCUCGAUGUCGGCUCAUCACAUCCUGGGGCUGAAGUAGGUCCCAAGGGUAUGGCUGUUCGCCAUUUAAAGUGGUACGCGAGCUGGGUUUAGAACGUCGUGAGACAGUUCGGUCCCUAUCUGCCGUGGGCGCUGGAGAAUUGAGGGGGGCUGCUCCUAGUACGAGAGGACCGGAGUGGACGCAUCACUGGUGUUCGGGUUGUCAUGCCAAUGGCACUGCCCGGUAGCUAAAUGCGGAAGAGAUAAGUGCUGAAAGCAUCUAAGCACGAAACUUGCCCCGAGAUGAGUUCUCCCUGAGACUUUAAGUCUCCUGAAGGAACGUUGAAGACGACGACGUUGAUAGGCCGGGUGUGUAAGCGCAGCGAUGCGUUGAGCUAACCGGUACUAAUGAACCGUGAGGCUUAACCUU
This 1338-nucleotide ribosomal RNA is filed under the name Klebsiella pneumoniae. RNAcentral describes it as "partial 23S ribosomal RNA". It matches the Rfam family "Bacterial large subunit ribosomal RNA", at positions 1612 to 2925 of the family's 2925-position model. Lineage: Bacteria; Pseudomonadati; Pseudomonadota; Gammaproteobacteria; Enterobacterales; Enterobacteriaceae. The record is from RNAcentral.